AUGCCCACUUAGGCAACAUACACACUAUAAUUAGAAUGAUACAGGCAUUAGUAUGGUCCCUAUGUAAAGGAUGGCAUGCAAAUUCAUGGCACAUUUCAUAUGUUU
Small nuclear RNA from Myotis lucifugus (little brown bat), 105 nucleotides. The record is from Ensembl. Lineage: Eukaryota; Metazoa; Chordata; Mammalia; Chiroptera; Vespertilionidae.